UUAAUUCCUUCCAAAAAUUUUAAUUCCCUCCGAAACUAAAAACAGGAAAGAAAACCCGAGCAGAUUCAUCACCUUCUCACUCCUAUUACUUAGAAACAGAACUCAAUUUCCCCAAUUUGAUGACAUUGACUCGCGUUCUGCGUUCCUUUCUCUCGCCAUUGUCUUGGAAGGUUCUUUCGAGUGGAUGCGCCAGCUCCAUGGAAGCUUGCUCGGGCGGCGCGUGAGUUUCAUGGUUGAUUGCGGAGGCGCGUUGGUCUCCAAUCUCCCCCAGACGAACGCUUGGAUGGCGUUCAGAAUCAAUUAAAAAUCAUGAAUAACCCUAAAUCCCUAAUCCCAUCCUUAACACAAUUUCCCUAAUUUCACAACGCUGAUGCGCGCAUUCUGCGUUUCUCUUUGCUCCGUCAAGUUCUGCUCUACUCCGCCGUGUUCUUCUGCUCCGCCGUGUUCUUCUCGCGUCGAGUUCUGCUUUGCUCCACCAUGUUCUUCUGCUCGCGCCGAGACUUGGGAAUAGCUAACCACAACUUGAAAUCUGUUCUGGCAACAACAAACAUGAAGAUUGCAGAGAAAUGAACAACAGUGAAGGUCCUUGUAGCAGCAGGGAAGAAAGUAUUGGAACAGAGAAUGAGAUGACUGAGUAAUAAUUUACACCAGGGCUAGUUGAUAUUAAUUUUUUUCUGCAUUAAACUUUAGAUCCUAAGCCAUACAUUGCAAUUUACACCAGACCGCUUGUGGCAUGAUCUGUUUCCUUCUCAAUAGAAAGUAUUAUUUAGAAACCCCCCUCCUCCCAAGCCUCUUGUGUUAGUCAGGUUCUACCAUGAUUUCAGUUCUGGUAUGGACUGUUACAUAUCUGGAAAAUCAUAUAGAGAGAAGUGAAUCUGAUGAGAUGGGUUUUUCAUUUCGUCUUUUAUGCUUCUCUUGAAAGGUGUCCAUCGUUGCCCAGUAAUAUAACUCGUUAUUAUUUGAGCUACAUCUGGACUCUACAUUCAUUAACACAAAUAAUAUACAGUCUUGUACAUUUUGUGGAUUUGCUUUUUUAUUAAUCUGUUUAACGUUUUUCAGAAUACUUAUUCAUUUUUAAGUAUAUAUUCAUCAAUAGUUGCUUUAUGCCAGAACAUAUUUGCUCGUGAAGCUCUAUUAUUCAACCAGUUUUAGAGCGCUAGGAGAUCAUAUUUGACUAUGAAAUACAACCUUGAACCGAGUUUUUUUUCUAAUAAAAUAUAUAGACAUUUGAAAUGAAACAGGAUUCGGAAGUGGAAGGCUGGUUCAAUUGGCAUUGGUUCUGGUCCUUGCCAAAGUGCAUCUUGGUUUCAAGUCGCUAGCAUAUAAUGCUAUGCUUUGAGGUUCGAGGCCCAAACAUGUUCAGAAACAACUCUUGUGGUUAGUACGGGGGCAACGGCAGAAGCUUUCAGAGUUGUUGAUGCUCCUGCCAAGGUUUUCUUUCUUCUGAUGGAAAACACUGAGGAGAUUCUUCUAUUUUGCACACAGAUCUUCCAGUUCCAGGCUCAGUGCUUAAAAUGAUUCUUCUGGUGGUGGAGUUAACAAGCUACAAGAAGAAAAAGUCAUAACAGGUUUAUUAGAUGCAAGUGGAGAGUAUACUCUUGCUUAUGAGGAUAACGAAGGAGAUAGAAUGUUUGUUAGAAAUGUGCCAUGGCACCAAAACUCGCUGUUUGUUAUAUGUAUCACAUGCAUCAACCAAAUCAAAGAAAAAAUUAAGUGUGUAAUCUUAGUUUGAAGCUUUUCUUACUUCAUAAAGUACAACAACAAAUGGGAUCAAAAAGGUUAGUUCUAUGAGAAGCAUAUAUAUUUCAACAGUAAUCACCUAUAAAGAUAUCUAUAUUUCAAAAGCAUAUAUAUUUUGUCACUAACAUAAUAAUAUAAUUUUUAGUGUGUAAUUUUUCUUGGAUUGUAUAUAAGAUUGUAAUGGACUAGAAAUCUCCUGGGGGAAGAAUUGAUAACUUAGAUUUUAAUGAGAUUGAACGGCCUGAGCAUCGGCUGGACUAUUCAUUGAAGCAAAUUAGGCCUAACAAGUAACAAGGUAUGCAAAUUUAGUAGCCGACUCAUCAACUUUAUAUUGAGUUCACUGGGCUGAUAUCAUUAUGGUAAUUAGAGAUUAUGUUGGUUGAUUACCUUUAAUUUGUUCAUAGUUGCUUAUAUGUGAUCAUAGUUUAUCGGGAUUUGGUGGCAUAUAUACAACUAGCUUUAAAGAUUUUCACUUAGUAAUUUUUGGUAUACUGAAUGCUUCACUAACAAAGGAAUUUUGCACUGUAAUUUUUCUCAUUUAUUUAUUAAAUUACUGAGACAGAUGUGGACUUCAAGAUCAAGCUUUUUACAAUUGAUGGCAAAAGAGUGAAGCUUACUAUUUGGGACACAGUCAACCACAAAGAACCCUAGUCGAAGUAGAACAUCGAAGGUUCCAGAGUGGUGUGGGUGUAGCUACUGUCUUGUUCUCUAAUGGUCAUUAGAAAGUGGUAGUGCGGUUUAUUUGUGUGGGCUGACAAUGGCCAAAAAAAGGUGAAUUCUACAGAGGACAUUGACCAAGUGAAGGUCAAUUUUACUUGGAGAAUUAGAAUGUUAGAAGCUGAAGUUAAAAUCCAAAAAACAUAUAUGUAUAGUAGUUGGCUGUGUUUAUAAUGUUUGUUGCUGGUUUCAUGUUAGAUUUUAAGGUUUGAGGAGUAUAACGUUUUAGUAUUGUUUAAACUCUCAAACGAUGUCGUUUAGUGUCUUCUUUAGCACCAAAAUGCAUACGACGUUAUUUUAAUAUUUGCAAUGUAGCAAGAAUUGAGCCACGUCACUAACGAUAUUGAGCGAUAUUGAGCUCUGGUAACAAAAGAUACACAAGGGACUAUAUCGGUACACUUUUUGAAUCUAGAGGACCAAAUUGUAGCAAUUAAGAAAUUAGGGACCCAACAGUAGAACUCGCAAAUCUCAAAGGCCAAAGUGAGGCUUAACUCGUUUAAAGUUUAUGUAUGGUGUAAGAAAGAAAAAUUUUUCUUAUCAAAUG
This is a long non-coding RNA of Arachis stenosperma, 3001 nucleotides long. RefSeq lists it as uncharacterized. The record is from RefSeq and is a predicted model, not a curated record. The transcript is spliced from 8 exons. Lineage: Eukaryota; Viridiplantae; Streptophyta; Magnoliopsida; Fabales; Fabaceae.